This 220-nucleotide unclassified non-coding RNA is filed under the name Hevea brasiliensis (rubber tree). Lineage: Eukaryota; Viridiplantae; Streptophyta; Magnoliopsida; Malpighiales; Euphorbiaceae. The record is from RNAcentral.
UGGCUUUAUGAUGUAAAUAUCAUAAAUUGUUUCUUUAUAGAGAAAUUACAAUGUUCUCUUCACAAAAAAAUUUGGUGCAGCCAUGAUUGUACAUUUUGUGUAAGGCUGGCAAAUGCUAACUCAAGCAAGAACCUUCUCAACUUCUGCCAUGGAAGAAACAACUCAGCAAUUUCUUUUGCAGUCAUGAAUAUAAUCUAAGUUAGAUAAGUUUUGCAUCCAG